RNAcentral lists this small RNA (127 nucleotides) under Marmota monax (woodchuck). The record is from RNAcentral. Lineage: Eukaryota; Metazoa; Chordata; Mammalia; Rodentia; Sciuridae.
GCUGGGCAUAGUGGUGCAUGCCUGUAAUCCCUGCAACUUGGGAGACUGAGGCAGGAGGAUCACAAGAUUGAGACUGGCCUUAGCAAUUUCGCAAGGCCCUAAACAAUUUAGCAAGACCCUGUCUUAC